This 28-nucleotide non-coding RNA is filed under the name Rattus norvegicus (Norway rat). The record is from RNAcentral. Lineage: Eukaryota; Metazoa; Chordata; Mammalia; Rodentia; Muridae.
UUGGUACAGAUAAGUCCUGCCCCAUUGC